AAAUUGAAGAGUUUGAUCAUGGCUCAGAUUGAACGCUGGCGGCAGGCCUAACACAUGCAAGUCGAACGGUAACAGGAAGCAGCUUGCUGCUUCGCUGACGAGUGGCGGACGGGUGAGUAAUGUCUGGGAAACUGCCUGAUGGAGGGGGAUAACUACUGGAAACGGUGGCUAAUACCGCAUAACGUCGCAAGACCAAAGAGGGGGACCUUCGGGCCUCUUGCCAUCAGAUGUGCCCAGAUGGGAUUAGCUGGUUGGUGAGGUAACGGCUCACCAAGGCGACGAUCCCUAGCUGGUCUGAGAGGAUGACCAGCCACACUGGAACUGAGACACGGUCCAGACUCCUACGGGAGGCAGCAGUGGGGAAUAUUGCACAAUGGGCGCAAGCCUGAUGCAGCCAUGCCGCGUGUAUGAAGAAGGCCUUCGGGUUGUAAAGUACUUUCAGCGGGGAGGAAGGUGUUGUGGUUAAUAACUGCAGCAAUUGACGUUACCCGCAGAAGAAGCACCGGCUAACUCCGUGCCAGCAGCCGCGGUAAUACGGAGGGUGCAAGCGUUAAUCGGAAUUACUGGGCGUAAAGCGCACGCAGGCGGUCUGUCAAGUCGGAUGUGAAAUCCCCGGGCUCAAC
RNAcentral lists this ribosomal RNA (623 nucleotides) under Salmonella enterica subsp. enterica serovar Kentucky. RNAcentral's name for it is "bacterial SSU rRNA". It matches the Rfam family "Bacterial small subunit ribosomal RNA", at positions 1 to 613 of the family's 1533-position model. The record is from RNAcentral. Lineage: Bacteria; Pseudomonadati; Pseudomonadota; Gammaproteobacteria; Enterobacterales; Enterobacteriaceae.